UAUCUACCCCAAUCAAAUCCAAAACGGCUGGCAUCCAUUUUCUCCCGUUUAGUCAAAUCGAAAUCCCACCUUCUGACGAUAGUCAUUCCCAAGAGAUAAAAUUAAAUUUGCUACCUGCUUUUGAAAGUAUUUCCUUCAUUCUUUCCUUCAAUCCGGGUUUCUUGGUCCUCUCCUCUCCCAGGCAAGAACAUGCCGAUUCAAAUCUGCUCACAUCAGAUUUGAUUACCAGAUAACACACACCACUCUUCCCAUACUUUUGAACAAGAGAACUUGACGCGUUGAAAUCAAUUGAAACACAGACGAAUAGAAAAACAAGACAAAAAUUUCAUGCCAACGGCGGCAGACCAAAGCAUGCUAGGCUGAAAGAGAAGGCUUCAAGGGUGUCGCGUUCAUGGCACUAAACUUUAAAUGACAGAGUAGAUUUCUAAUUCGAGCAAAUAAAAAAGGAAAUGGCGAAUAUCGACAUUGAUGGGAUCUUGAAGGAGCUUCCAAAUGAUGGUCGUAUCGCCAAAACGAAAAUUGUUUGCACUCUGGGUUCGGCAUCGCGAUCGGUACCCAUGAUCGAGAAGUUACUGAAGGCCGGCAUGAACAUUGCUCGCUUCAAUAUCUCCCAUGGCAGCCAUGAAUAUCACCAGGAGACCUUGAACAAUCUCGAAAAUUUUUAUUAUUUUAUUUAUUUUUAGUAUUAAAGGGGAAUAAAAGAAAAUAAUAAACAAAGGGGUUAUAAAGCCAUUUACCCAUUUAAAGUUUGGUGUAAGGUGGGACCUUAAAGCUCUUUUUUUAGUUGCCAACCAAAACGAGAAAUUUACAUAUAAGAUGUAUGAAUAUUUUAGGUCAUCACAUUUCAGCCUGGUGCUGUCAAUUUGUCAGGCGGCACCGUCAAAACACUGAAGCAAAUGCCUAUUUUCAUAAUUAAUUUGUUUUCUAUA
Molecule: long non-coding RNA, 929 nt
Organism: Gossypium raimondii (Peruvian cotton)
Lineage: Eukaryota; Viridiplantae; Streptophyta; Magnoliopsida; Malvales; Malvaceae
Exons: 4
Source: RefSeq, a predicted model, not a curated record